UUUGCUUAAAAGAAGAAAGCUGCAGCUUCACCAGAAAGGAGACGCUACCCACCCCCCACUUCGACGGAGGAAGAUUGCUCUCAGCGCCUGAACUUCUCUUGAGCUAUUUUCAGCUUGGAAUCUCAGUUGUGCUCUUGUCAGUGUGCUCAGGCUUUCUCUUAAAACUUCGUCUCCCCUCUAAUGCAGUGCUGUACGUGGGAGCUUCCUCCAGUUACUUAGCCUUUGAUCCUUCUAAAUAUUUCUAUUUUUUACUGUCGCACUGGGGGUAUAUGAAAGCCUGCACAUACCAGUAGCAUCCGAUACCCAGCAAAUGGAUUGCUGAUGAACUCUCCUUGUUUGCUCUUUAUUCCAGCAUUUAGCUGAGUCCUCAUGCUGUGCACAUGCUUUAUAUAUGUGGGCCCCUCUUUUGGUAAACCACUAAGUGCUCUUUUACAUUAAGCAUGUCUCUAAAGAGAUUGGAGACUGUCUCACUGUCCUAAUGCACCUUCAUUUAGUACUCGAGUUUGGGUGGCUAUUUUUUAAAUAAGUGAAUUAAAAGGAAAUUCACUGGAGUGUAUUGAAAACACCAGUUUUGAUACGAUGUCACAGGUUUUAGAAAAUCCACACACAAAUGGGACAUUGGCCCCUGCUACUCCAGCUUUGCUGAACUCAGGUCAGCUGGGCUUAUUUAUAGUCAUGUUUGGUUAAACUUGGGGUUUUAGCAGUUGUACAUACUUACUUGUAGUGUGCUCUUCUGAACAGGGAUUCAACCAUCCACAUCUUCCCAUCAGCUAUUUCACUUCAUGUAAGCCAAUUACACAGCUGGGGGUUUCCUGGGCAAUAGAGCUACACGUUACUGGAUCUUGGCUUGGGUCACGUAUGCAUUUGGGGUGUUUGACUAGACUGUAAAGAUCAGUAUAGGCUGCCAGGUACUAAGUUGAGCUAGCUUGAUUUAUUUCUUUGUACAUUAGUUUGCACAGUAGCACUAAAUUGAGCAUUGUGCCUUAACCGGUCACAACUUGUUCUGCUUUAUGGUUGCAUGUGCUUGUAGUAUGUACUUGUGUCUGAUACAUAAUGUAUGUCUCGCACAGUAAAUGGAGGGGGGCUUUUAGAAGCUUUAUUGAUGAAAUGUACUGUGUGUAGAAGAUAGUUCCAACUUCAUGUCUAAGAGACAAAACGUUCAAGAAAACACGUGUGACAGAUUUUAGCAUCGUUUCUUUUGGAAAGGUGGGCACCUGUAUGAGACUUUGUAUAUUUAAUCAUCUGUAAAUACUUGCUUCCUGUCGCUCUUGUAUAUUCCAACGUGUGUUUUUUAUACCAAGUAAAUUAAAUCAAUUCAGGAA
Strigops habroptila (Kakapo) is the source of this 1322-nucleotide long non-coding RNA. Lineage: Eukaryota; Metazoa; Chordata; Aves; Psittaciformes; Psittacidae. The record is from Ensembl.